This 21-nucleotide non-coding RNA is filed under the name Caenorhabditis elegans. Lineage: Eukaryota; Metazoa; Nematoda; Chromadorea; Rhabditida; Rhabditidae. The record is from RNAcentral.
UCCGCUUUAUUUUUGCAUUCU